RNAcentral lists this ribosomal RNA (253 nucleotides) under uncultured bacterium. RNAcentral's name for it is "partial 16S ribosomal RNA". It matches the Rfam family "Bacterial small subunit ribosomal RNA", at positions 524 to 776 of the family's 1533-position model. The record is from RNAcentral.
UACGGAGGUCUCAAGCGUUGUUCGGAUUCAUUGGGCGUAAAGGGUGCGUAGGCGGCGCGGUAAGUCGGGUGUGAAAUCUCGGGGCUUAACUCCGAAACUGCAUUCGAUACUACCGUGCUUGAGGACUGGAGAGGAGACUGGAAUUUACGGUGUAGCGGUGAAAUGCGUAGAUAUCGUAAGGAAGACCAGUGGCGAAGGCGGGUCUCUGGACAGUUCCUGACGCUGAGGCACGAAGGCCAGGGGAGCAAACGGG